RNAcentral lists this long non-coding RNA (235 nucleotides) under Capsella rubella. RNAcentral's name for it is "long non-coding RNA (CRUB_LNC004772)". The record is from RNAcentral. Lineage: Eukaryota; Viridiplantae; Streptophyta; Magnoliopsida; Brassicales; Brassicaceae.
UUACUCGGGCUCCGGAUUACUUAAAAGAUUAACACUCUAUCACAUAUGCGAGUCAGAGUUCAUUUUACCAAAGUUUUGUCGUCAUAGGUAAAAAAAGCAAAGGAUGUGAUCAAAGUCUUUAGUCAAUUCGUCCUCAAAAAAAAAAAAAAAAAAAAAAAAGUCUUUAGUCAAGUCACAAGUGUAUUUUCUGAGUCAAUGAGACUCAUCUGGGUUGGUCGUCUCUUCUUACUCGUAC